RNAcentral lists this ribosomal RNA (417 nucleotides) under Triticum aestivum (bread wheat). Its description in RNAcentral is "partial small subunit ribosomal RNA". The record is from RNAcentral. Lineage: Eukaryota; Viridiplantae; Streptophyta; Magnoliopsida; Poales; Poaceae.
AUGGAGCUCCCGCUGCUCGCCAAGCACAACUCGGACAACCGGAUUCGCAUCGCCGCGUCCGGGGCGGUGCGGCCGCUCGUCGUGCUGCUGUCGCACCGUGACCCGCUCGGAGUCACCGCACUGCUCAACCUGUCAAUCUGCGACGAGAACAAGGCCAUCAUGGUCGAGGCCGUCAUGAUACGGCCGCUCGUGCGCGCGCUCAAGUCCGUUGCAUCGCCCGCGGCCAGGGAGAGCAUCGUGUGCACUCUGCUCCGCCUCUCCCAGCUCGACAGCGCGGCCGCUGCAGCCGCCGACCACACAAGCGCUAUCCUGCUAUUGGUACCCUCAAGACCGGCGGGGCACGCCGGAAGAAGGACGGGGUGCCUCGGCUGCGUCUCCUGUUUGGCCGGCGGUCAUGGCCAUCCGGAGCAGGAAUGA